AGCGGCGGACGGGUGAGUAAUGCCUAGGAAUCUGCCUGAUAGUGGGGGACAACGUUUCGAAAGGAACGCUAAUACCGCAUACGUCCUACGGGAGAAAGCAGGGGACCUUCGGGCCUUGCGCUAUCAGAUGAGCCUAGGUCGGAUUAGCUAGUUGGUGAGGUAAUGGCUCACCAAGGCGACGAUCCGUAACUGGUCUGAGAGGAUGAUCAGUCACACUGGAACUGAGACACGGUCCAGACUCCUACGGGAGGCAGCAGUGGGGAAUAUUGGACAAUGGGCGAAAGCCUGAUCCAGCCAUGCCGCGUGUGUGAAGAAGGUCUUCGGAUUGUAAAGCACUUUAAGUUGGGAGGAAGGGCAUUAACCUAAUACGUUAGUGUUUUGACGUUACCGACAGAAUAAGCACCGGCUAACUUCGUGCCAGCAGCCGCGGUAAUAC
RNAcentral lists this ribosomal RNA (436 nucleotides) under uncultured bacterium. RNAcentral's name for it is "bacterial SSU rRNA". It matches the Rfam family "Bacterial small subunit ribosomal RNA", at positions 94 to 526 of the family's 1533-position model. The record is from RNAcentral.